This is a long non-coding RNA of Panicum virgatum (switchgrass), 1306 nucleotides long. RefSeq lists it as uncharacterized. The record is from RefSeq and is a predicted model, not a curated record. The transcript is spliced from 5 exons. Lineage: Eukaryota; Viridiplantae; Streptophyta; Magnoliopsida; Poales; Poaceae.
CGGCGUCCUCUGCAGCUUCGCCGACCUCUUUGGCACCUCCCCAAUAGAAGCUCUCUCCAAUGCGCGAAGAUAGAGCAGCCGCCAUGGGGGAUUCGGUCACCAGCUGCCACUGAUUCCACCGGCGUUUGUCGUCGGUGAGCCCACGAGCGCAUCCCUGCCAUCUCCUAUUUUCAAUGUCCUGCUCCGUUUCGUACAUAGGAUGAGUGCCGUCAAGAGCCAGCUGGGCGGAGGACGUCAUUAAUCAGGCUCGUGAUCGAUGGAUGAGAGAGGAUCCGUGGAGAAAUGGGUGGACCGGCUGCAAGAGCCAUGCAGAGCCGUGGAAAGAAUGGGAUCGGCUGCAGAUUCCAUGGAGGGCAGAUAGAGCAAGGCCGCUUAGCUGGUUCUAGGGAUGCCGGUGCUAGAUCCGUGAAGAAACAUCAUCGAAGGCGACCCGGUGGGCAUAAGUCUACGUUUGGCUCUUGGCUUGUGUCUUUCAUUGAGAUAAGAUUGUCAAAUCAAUUGCUCUGUCCAUUUAUGACCAUGAAUCGUCUAACAAGAGAUAUCAGUGUCCUCCUCCUGGGUGAUCCAGGCACUGCAAAAUCCCAAUUUCUAAAGUAAGGACAGAAUCAAUCACUUUUCAUCAUUUGAGAUUGCACCACUAAUUUUCCAUCUUUUAGGUAUGUGGAGAAAACAGGACACCGAGCGGUAUAUAUAACUGGAAAAGGAGCCUCUGCUGUUGGUCUCACUGCAGCAGUUCACAAGGAUCCAGUAGCACGGGAAUGGACACUUGAGGGAGGUGCACUGGUUCUUGCUGAUAGGGGCAUAUGCCUUAUUGAUGAAUUUGACAAGAUGAACGAUCAAGAUAGCCAUGGAGCAACAGAGUAUCAGAAUAUCAAAGGCAGGAAUCAUCACAUCUCUUCACGCUCGAUGCAGUGUUAUUGCUCCAGCAAAUCCAAUAGGCGGAAGUUUAUCUCCCUCGCUUGUGGGUAGUCUGAGGACACAAGGAGCAUAUUCUGCUAUGCCUCCUCCAGUUCAGGAAUUCAGAUGCCAAUGACGCUCCAUGGGAAGCUCAGCUUCGGCAUGAGAGGUGAGCUCUCACCUGCUAUUGUUCUGAACUAUUGACAUUUGCAUGCAGCUCCAAGUUCUCGUUAGAGCAGAUUUAUCAGAACAAAUAAGCCUGGCAUUUGUAAGCCUUACAGAAGACAUCCAAAAAAGCUCAGAUGACUGUGAAGGCUAAAAUAUCUCCAGGGAAGUGUAGAAAAUUAUUGUUAGCUUGAUAGUUCAUGUCCUUCCGAGACAUCCAUUUGUAUGCCUGUAAUUUGGUCCA